This 627-nucleotide ribosomal RNA is filed under the name uncultured bacterium. Its description in RNAcentral is "bacterial SSU rRNA". The stretch from base 1 to 540 matches the Rfam family "Bacterial small subunit ribosomal RNA", at positions 338 to 873 of the family's 1533-position model. The record is from RNAcentral.
CCUACGGGAGGCAGCAGUGGGGAAUUUUGGACAAUGGGCGAAAGCCUGAUCCAGCAAUGCCGCGUGAGUGAAGAAGGCCUUCGGGUUGUAAAGCUCUUUUGUCAGGGAAGAAACGGUGAGAGCUAAUAUCUCUUGCUAAUGACGGUACCUGAAGAAUAAGCACCGGCUAACUACGUGCCAGCAGCCGCGGUAAUACGUAGGGUGCAAGCGUUAAUCGGAAUUACUGGGCGUAAAGCGCGCGCAGGCGGUUUUGUAAGUCUGAUGUGAAAUCCCCGGGCUCAACCUGGGAAUUGCAUUGGAGACUGCAAGGCUAGAAUCUGGCAGAGGGGGGUAGAAUUCCACGUGUAGCAGUGAAAUGCGUAGAUAUGUGGAGGAACACCGAUGGCGAAGGCAGCCCCCUGGGUCAAGAUUGACGCUCAUGCACGAAAGCGUGGGGAGCAAACAGGAUUAGAUACCCUGGUAGUCCACGCCCUAAACGAUGUCUACUAGUUGUCGGGUCUUAAUUGACUUGGUAGCGCAGCUACGCGUGAGUAGACCGCCGNGGGAGGUACGGUCGCGAGAGUUAAACGUACGAAAGAAGUAGUAGACGACGAGAGAGCGACGGACGGACGACGACGGAGGGAGGAG